UACAGAGGUCUCAAGCGUUGUUCGGAUUCAUUGGGCGUAAAGGGUGUGUAGGUGGCGCCGUAAGCCGGGUGUGAAAUUUCGGAGCUUAACUCCGAAACUGCAUUCGAUACUGCGGUGCUUGAGGACUGGAGAGGAGACUGGAAUUCAUGGUGUAGCAGUGAAAUGCGUAGAGAUCAUGAGGAAGACCAGUGGCGAAGGCGGGUCUCUGGACAGUUCCUGACACUGAGACACGAAGGCCAGGGGAGCAAACGGG
Molecule: ribosomal RNA, 253 nt
Filed under: uncultured bacterium
Lineage: Bacteria
Description: partial 16S ribosomal RNA
Rfam family: Bacterial small subunit ribosomal RNA
Source: RNAcentral